GACGAACGCUGGCGGCGUGCUUAACACAUGCAAGUCGAACGAGAAUCUACUGAAGGAGGAUUCGUCCAACGGAAGUAGAGGAAAGUGGCGGACGGGUGAGUAACGCGUGAGGAACCUGCCUUGAAGAGGGGGACAACAGUUGGAAACGACUGCUAAUACCGCAUGAAGCAUAGGGGUCGCAUGAUCUUUAUGCCAAAGAUUUAUCGCUUCAAGAUGGCCUCGCGUCUGAUUAGCUGGUUGGCGGGGUAACGGCCCACCAAGGCGACGAUCAGUAGCCGGACUGAGAGGUUGAACGGCCACAUUGGGACUGAGAUACGGCCCAGACUCCUACGGGAGGCAGCAGUGGGGAAUAUUGGGCAAUGGGCGCAAGCCUGACCCAGCAACGCCGCGUGAAGGAAGAAGGCUUUCGGGUUGUAAACUUCUUUUAAGAGGGAAGAGCAGAAGACGGUACCUCUAGAAUAAGCCACGGCUAACUACGUGCCAGCAGCCGCGGU
RNAcentral lists this ribosomal RNA (494 nucleotides) under uncultured bacterium. RNAcentral's name for it is "bacterial SSU rRNA". It matches the Rfam family "Bacterial small subunit ribosomal RNA", at positions 28 to 521 of the family's 1533-position model. The record is from RNAcentral.